GAUGAACGCUAGCGGGAGGCUUAACACAUGCAAGUCGAGGGGCAGCAUAGGGUAGCAAUACUCUGAUGGCGACCGGCAAACGGGUGAGUAACGCGUAUGCAACCUACCCUGUACAGGGGGAUAACCCGGAGAAAUUCGGACUAAUAUCCCGUAAUAAUAUCCGGAGGCAUCUUUGGAUAUUUAAAGUUCCGACGGUACGGGAUGGGCAUGCGUAACAUUAGCUGGUUGGUAAGGUAACGGCUUACCAAGGCUAUGAUGUUUAGGGGUCCUGAGAGGGUGGUCCCCCACACUGGUACUGAGACACGGACCAGACUCCUACGGGAGGCAGCAGUGAGGAAUAUUGGUCAAUGGGCGCAAGCCUGAACCAGCCAUCCCGCGUGCAGGAAGACGGCCCUAUGGGUUGUAAACUGCUUUUCCAGGGAGAGAAACUUACGCACGUGUUGCGUGACUGACGGUACCCUGGGAAUAAGCAUCGGCUAACUCCGUGCCAGCAGCCGCGGUAAUCUCGUCUCUAC
RNAcentral lists this ribosomal RNA (515 nucleotides) under uncultured bacterium. RNAcentral describes it as "bacterial SSU rRNA". It matches the Rfam family "Bacterial small subunit ribosomal RNA", at positions 28 to 535 of the family's 1533-position model. The record is from RNAcentral.